This 65-nucleotide transfer RNA is filed under the name Polyommatus amorata. RNAcentral's name for it is "tRNA-Arg". The record is from RNAcentral. Lineage: Eukaryota; Metazoa; Arthropoda; Insecta; Lepidoptera; Lycaenidae.
AAAUAAGAAGCAACAAUGCAUUUAAUUUCGACUUAAAAGAUUGAGAUUUAAUUUCUCCUUAUUUA